GACGAACGCUGGCGGCGUGCUUAACACAUGCAAGUCGAACGGAAAGGCCCUGCUUUUGUGGGGUGCUCGAGUGGCGAACGGGUGAGUAACACGUGAGUAACCUGCCCUUGACUUUGGGAUAACUUCAGGAAACUGGGGCUAAUACCGGAUAGGAGCUCCUGCUGCAUGGUGGGGGUUGGAAAGUUUCGGCGGUUGGGGAUGGACUCGCGGCUUAUCAGCUUGUUGGUGGGGUAGUGGCUUACCAAGGCUUUGACGGGUAGCCGGCCUGAGCGGGUGACCGGCCACAUUGGGACUGAGAUAAGGCACAGACUCCUACGGGAGGCAGCAGUGGGGAAUAUUGCACUAUGGGCGGAAGCCUGAUGUAGCCACGCCGCGUGCGGGAUGACGGCCUUCGGGUUGUAAACCGCUUUCGCCUGUGACGAAGCGUGAGUGACGGUAACGGGUAAAGAAGCACCGGCUAACUCCGUG
RNAcentral lists this ribosomal RNA (468 nucleotides) under uncultured bacterium. RNAcentral describes it as "partial 16S ribosomal RNA". It matches the Rfam family "Bacterial small subunit ribosomal RNA", at positions 28 to 507 of the family's 1533-position model. The record is from RNAcentral.